This 439-nucleotide long non-coding RNA is filed under the name Olea europaea subsp. europaea. The record is from RNAcentral. Lineage: Eukaryota; Viridiplantae; Streptophyta; Magnoliopsida; Lamiales; Oleaceae.
GUUUCUUAGCAACAAUUAUUUCUCCGAACCUGCACGAAAUAACUAGGAAUUCACUAGCUGUUCCACCCACGACGUAACUAAUAUUUUGAGCAGUAGGUCCAUUCUUAAAAAGACUCUUCAAUGGUAGUUUCACGUCACCGAUAUAUCUAUCCCCCAAAUGUCCUUUUACAGAAUAACUUCAUUACAAUUUCAACACCAGCUUCUUGUUGGACUGCUAUCUCGCCUAUUGUGUAACCGAUGGUGCAAUUCAAGCAGGGACUGCACUCGUUUUGCCUGUCCACUUGGGUUUUCUUUGCUGUUUGAGAUAUGCCAUAUUGAUUGAAACUUCAGCAUAAACUUUCAUUCUGCCAUAAUCCCUAACGUCAGGGAGACUAUUGGCAGAAACAAGAGUAAUAUCAAGUUUCCUGCACUCCAAAUAUUUGAGUGUUGACUGAGUUUU